This 345-nucleotide unclassified non-coding RNA is filed under the name soil metagenome. RNAcentral's name for it is "partial contains 5.8S ribosomal RNA, internal transcribed spacer 2, and large subunit ribosomal RNA". The stretch from base 1 to 120 matches the Rfam family "5.8S ribosomal RNA", at positions 35 to 154 of the family's 154-position model. The record is from RNAcentral.
GAUGAAGAACGUAGCGAAAUGCGAUACGCAAUGUGAAUUGCAGAAUUCAGUGAAUCAUCGAGUCUUUGAACGCACAUUGCGCCCCCUGGUAUUCCGGGGGGCAUGCCUGUCCGAGCGUCAUUGCUGCCCUCAAGCACGGCUUGUGUGUUGGGCCUCCGUCCUCCUCCCGGGGGACGGGCCCGAAAGGCAGCGGCGGCACCGCGUCCGGUCCUCGAGCGUAUGGGGCUUCGUCACCCGCUCUUGUAGCCCCGGCCGGCGCUUGCCGACACAUCAAUCUUUUUUCCAGGUUGACCUCGGAUCAGGUAGGGAUACCCGCUGAACUUAAGCAUAUCAAUAAGCGGAGGA